UACAGAGGGUGCAAGCGUUACUCGGAAUUACUGGGCGUAAAGCGUGCGUAGGUGGUCUGUUAAGUCUGAUGUGAAAGCCCUGGGCUCAACCUGGGAAUUGCAUUGGAUACUGGCAGGCUAGAGUGCGGUAGAGGAUGGCGGAAUUCCCGGUGUAGCAGUGAAAUGCGUAGAGAUCGGGAGGAACAUCUGUGGCGAAGGCGGCCAUCUGGACCAGCACUGACACUGAGGCACGAAAGCGUGGGGAGCAAACAGG
RNAcentral lists this ribosomal RNA (253 nucleotides) under uncultured bacterium. RNAcentral's name for it is "partial 16S ribosomal RNA". It matches the Rfam family "Bacterial small subunit ribosomal RNA", at positions 524 to 776 of the family's 1533-position model. The record is from RNAcentral.